Long non-coding RNA from Grus americana (Whooping crane), 1083 nucleotides. RefSeq lists it as uncharacterized. The transcript is spliced from 6 exons. The record is from RefSeq and is a predicted model, not a curated record. NCBI's taxonomy places the organism in Eukaryota, Metazoa, Chordata, Aves, Gruiformes, Gruidae.
CAGAAUUCCUCCUCUGAUUUUUCUCUCUGAAAUUAGCCUGUAGUGCUAUGCUUCAGACUUCACAGGAGCCUAAAGGUGUCACAGUCAUCACCAGCGUGAGCAGAAGGAUGCUUCUUGUAGCAUGCCCUGGAGAUCAACAGACCCAGGCUAUUUCAGACCAUAAAGGAGCUGGAUUGUGUCCACCCCCCUUUUGGUGACAAUGUGUCUUGAAGUACACCUGAUGUCUCAAUCCUUUUGCAUGCCAACUUGUGGCUGCAAAGCUGCAGGGAGGAAUCGCAUCCUGCAAUUUUGCCACAGAAACUGUUUAAUUUCAUGGGCCACGCUGGAAGAACGCCUGUGACUGCCCAGUAAAAUAUCAGCAUCUGGACAUCACCAAACAGAUGACUUUCCUGAGAAUGAAGGAUUAGUCUGGGAUACGGCAUUAGCUAUUUCUUCCCUAAGCAAGUUUGAGCACUAUCAAGGAUAGUGAAACACCUGCUGUUUUUCAGCCUCUGUCAUAAGGGGACUGAGAUUUACUUGAGCUUAGUUAAGUUAAAUUGAAACUAAAGUAAAAAGAACAAAACAGUAACCUCUGCUAUAACUGAGAUUAUUUCGAUACAGCUCUAAAUGAGGAGAGAAGAUGAAUCAAGAUUCUAUGUACAUCCUUGAGAAGGUCAUUUCAAGAUACUUGUAUCCAGAUUUCUAAGGAAAUGCAGGUUACAUGGCCACAGUGUGUACUAGUGUUGUCUUCAGUAACUUUCAAAUCUGCUGGCUACUUCAACCACAUUUGAUGGUAAAGUAAAAAUCUGAAAGAUAAUGGAGGAAAUAACAGCAAUUAUUCAAUUUCUCACAGAUGACCAGCAGAUUUAUCAGUGGGAGACAGAUUACUCGUGGAGAAAAUGCUACGGAAGAAGGGAAAUGGAUUGUUGCUCACAUGGAUUCACCCGUUUUCUGGACAGACUUCAACACACUAUGAAACCUGGUCUGGAGGCAGUUCUGUUACACUUGAUCCUAUAUGAAGGCAAAGCACAAGCUCAGUUGUUUAAAGGCAUGUAACCCAUGUGUCACAGAUCUUGCUAAGCUCCCUGGCUAGACGUUGACCAG